AAAAAUAUAUGUUUGAGUUUCAAAAUUGUAAAUUGCAUUUGCCAAUUCAAUGCAUAAAACUCUAAUCAACAACUAUUUUCAGUUUUUUACUAGAUCAUAACUUCAGGAUAGAGUUCCUAUUCAGUAUUGAGAAGUUCAUUAGACCUGAAAGUUUGAUUGGUUACGGCAAGUGGCAAAAACACAAGGCCACAUUAACUAUUAAUUUCCAAAAUCUCAUUAGUCAAUUGGUCUAUCAAAAUCAUUUUCUAAAACCAUGUUCUUGAAAUGAAUUGAAAAUUUGAACUGUGCCUAUAGUAAAAUCUGUAAAGGGUUUCAAAUGGCAUCCAAGCAUCUAAGUUCCACAGUUGGGGAAAAACUAUUUUUACUCUGCUAACAACAAUGGGGAAAUAACACCAGGGGAAAAGUUGCACUAGAAAAAGUAAAGAACUCCAUUUUAUAUCGACAAGGAUUUCAGAAAAAUGAGAAGAAAAUUAAAAAUUAAAAAACAAAAGAAAUCAUUUAUUUAGGAAACAACAAAAAACAGAAACAAGUGAACUGCCUGCAUUCAAAUCAUAAACGGGGCUACCAUGUGUGCAAAUAGAAAAUUUCUGAUCUGAUAAAAUUAUUUCUCACAGAGUUGAGCAUAAAGUUCCCGAUUAGCUAAAGGAUAUAUAUCAAGAAAGGAAUGUUCAUAUAUUGUCUAGAGCAUGAUCUUCAAGAAAAAGUGCCAUGACUUUCCUUUCAAGCACACACAAUGAGCACAGGCUCAAAUUUGGCUAAAGCCAUUUAUGGUUUAUCACAUGCACUAGAUAAUUACCGUUUAUUUCAUGCAUGUUUGAGUUGAGGGAAAAGAAGAUCAAGUUAGUUAGUUUCAUAUCUCCAUGUCAUUAAUUCUAACUUUCAAUAAAAAUAUAAAGUACCUCAUAAAUCAUAGUAACAGAAGCAAUUCAUCUCUGAAAAGUUGUGAACAUA
Molecule: long non-coding RNA, 951 nt
Filed under: Populus trichocarpa (black cottonwood)
Lineage: Eukaryota; Viridiplantae; Streptophyta; Magnoliopsida; Malpighiales; Salicaceae
Description: long non-coding RNA (PTRI_LNC000953)
Source: RNAcentral